UACCUACCUAACGAAACAAGCUAUGGAAAGAUCCAAGCAACAAAUUGAACAAACCAAUAAAAAAAAUAAAAUUAAUUAAUCUUGAUCAACACCCUCGUAAGCCCAAGCGUUCUCCUCGCGAAGUCUAGCUUCCUCUUGUGGCGUAAAAUCAUUCUCAAACCCCAAAUAGCGAUGAACAUAUUCCACGCUCUUGUUACUAAUAUGAUCAGCAAUGGCCUGACUAAGCAAAUCCAACAAAUACUUAAUUAACCGCCAAAAUCAAUUCUUUUAUGUCUUCAGCUUGUUUCUUCACAAAUUCUGCAUUAUAAGCUUUGAGAUCGGUUGGAUUAGAUUUCAACUUCAAGUAAUCCUCGAUGUAAGUUAUUAUCAAAGAGAGCUACGCGGAUGACACGUUAGGGACAGGAAUUAUAGUAGCUUUAGACGAGGAAGAAGAAUUAUCAGCAAACUUAUCGAAAAAACUUUUCACAGUAAUCAUCUCCAUAGCCACGGCUUCUUCUAUCUCGAAAAGCUUAUUGUCGAAGGUCUUCAAGGUAAUGGUUUGCUUUGAUUCCAUGUUGAUUAAUUCUUAGAAACGAAUUGAAGUGAUUUUUGCGAUUUAUGCUUGGGCAAUUUAUUUA
This is a non-coding RNA of Jatropha curcas, 617 nucleotides long. Lineage: Eukaryota; Viridiplantae; Streptophyta; Magnoliopsida; Malpighiales; Euphorbiaceae. The record is from RefSeq and is a predicted model, not a curated record.